This is a long non-coding RNA of Cynoglossus semilaevis (tongue sole), 1554 nucleotides long. RefSeq lists it as uncharacterized. The record is from RefSeq and is a predicted model, not a curated record. The transcript has 2 exons. NCBI's taxonomy places the organism in Eukaryota, Metazoa, Chordata, Actinopteri, Pleuronectiformes, Cynoglossidae.
AUGAAUCUCUCGGGAUUGUCAACGGGGAAAUGGGGGUAAAGUUAUUUAAACGCUGUAAAUGAACUGGUUUAAUUCAUUACAGUGAAAUGAUCUGUCUUAACAAACACUUCACUCUUAUUUCAAAUAAAAUGAAGACUUAAAAGUUCAGCCAUUGACACGAGCUUACAUAUAGAUCUAUUCUAAUCAAGGUGUUUUUCAGCUCCAAAAUUCGAAAAAUAAUAUUUUAACUGCAUGGAUGAAAUUGUGCAAGUGUGAACCUGGUGUUGUUGAUGCAAGUUGUUAGAACCAUGCGUCAGGUUGAAGCUUACAUCAAUGGGUAGUUUGUAUUAAACGCCAAAUUAUUUUAAGUGUGGAAAAGAUACGGCAGAAAGGCGUUUUGUUAAUGUAGUUCUUUCUUGAAUUGCUUGUUUCUGAUUAAAAAUGCGGAAAAAGUGAUGUUUAAAGUGAGCGAAGUUUAUUGUGAAGAACAAGAUUGAAAUAUGUUAUGUUCGCCAAGCACCUUCCCAUUGUCCACUGCGAUAGCUUUAGGUUAUGUUUGGGUGAAAAUGAAAGUGUCCUUCGUCGAAAGUCGUCAAAACUCAGUCAAAUGCCUCAUCAUUGUCCACCAUUCCACGCCCAGAAGACAUGCUAGCUGUCCCAAAAAGCACCACCAUAAAUGCCCAUUUAUCCUGCUCCCUGCCGACAUGACCGUAUUAUUUAAAAAGUGGGCACAAACAAGAAAACACACGAAAAAUGUCCUUCACACUCCGUCACGUAAUGUACACAGAACGAGGCUAAAGAGCGCGCCGUUCGCCGCUCCGUAAAAUGGCUUCCACGUCUCCCGUCUCUCCGCUUCUGACCCUCCUCCUUAUCGCUGCCUGGUUUUAUACCGCCAUAUUGGCUCUCUAAUAUAGACUGCCCGGGAUGGGAAGGUGCUUCUCGACACUACGUCACCGGCUCUACAUAUAAACACCACACUGUGCUUUAAAUAGUGGAGAAGAGACAGGCCGAGGGGGAGGGAAGGAGAGACUUAAGGCCGAGCUGCGGACGCGGCGGGACAGUGUGCAUUUGCAGGGAUCUCGGUGCAAAGCAUUGGUCCAUGUGCGCGUAUCUGCGGGACGUCUUUAGGUUUACAAAGAACCGCGUUCGGGGCAAACACUUCAGGAUUGGAUUACGUGUACGGAGACACGCGAUACCGUUAUGACGUCAAAGCCAUAGAUUUCAUCAACGUUGAUUACAGUUUAUGAUCCGUUAGACAUUCUGUAAUUCUAUGAUAUUCAAAUCUUUGUAUAUUGUUUAAAAUUAUUUGCAUGCGUUUUAAAAACAGUUGGGUUAAAACUUUUUGUUAACACUCAAGUUACAAGUCAUUUUGUCCAGAAAAGGUUGUUGACAAUGUUUGUAUGGGUGUGUCAAACCUCUAAAAUAUUGUUUUCAACCGUUAUAAUGCAGUUAAAACAAUAUAUUUGCAUUCAGAAUGCUAUAAUCAGAUAUGUUCACAUUAUAAAUGGAUUUUUAAAAUGUGGUUUUCACAAGGGGCUAUUUUGUUGUAUUACAAUAAAUCAUUUGGAAGAGGCA